This 379-nucleotide ribosomal RNA is filed under the name uncultured bacterium. RNAcentral describes it as "bacterial SSU rRNA". It matches the Rfam family "Bacterial small subunit ribosomal RNA", at positions 28 to 403 of the family's 1533-position model. The record is from RNAcentral.
GACGAACGCUGGCGGCGUGCUUAACACAUGCAAGUGGAGCGACGAACCGGGCUUCGGCCCGGGGCAAAGCCGCGAACGGGUGAGUAACACGUGGGUAACCUGCCCCGAUGAUUGGGACAACCUCGGGAAACCGAGGCUAAUACCAAAUGUGCUUGUACCCCUCGAGGGUGUAAGGAAAGGAAGCUUCGGCCUCCGCAUUGGGAUGGGCCCGCGGCGCAUUAGCUCGUUGGUGGGGUAACGCCUACCAAGGCUUCGAUGCGUAGCUGGUCUGAGAGGACGAUCAGCCACACUGGGACUGAGACACGGCCCAGACUCUACGGGAGGCAGCAGUGGGGAAUCUUGCGCAAUGCGCGAAAGCGUGACGCAGCAACGCCGCGUG